GAUGAACGCUGACAGAAUGCUUAACACAUGCAAGUCAACUUGAACUUCGGUUUGGGUGGCGGACGGGUGAGUAACGCGUAAAGAACUUGCCUCACAGAUAGGGACAACAUUUGGAAACGAAUGCUAAUACCUGAUAUUAUGAUUAUAUGGCAUCGUAUAAUUAUGAAAGCUAUAUGCGCUGUGAGAGAGCUUUGCGUCCCAUUAGCUAGUUGGAGAGGUAACGGCUCACCAAGGCGAUGAUGGGUAGCCGGCCUGAGAGGGUGAUCGGCCACAAGGGGACUGAGACACGGCCCUUACUCCUACGGGAGGCAGCAGUGGGGAAUAUUUGACAAUGGACCAAGAGUCUGAUCCAGCAAUUCUGUGUGCACGAUGAAGUUUUUCGGAAUGUAAAGUGCUUUCAGUUGGGAAGAAAAAAAUGACGGUACCAACAGAAGAAGUGACGGCUAAAUACGUG
This 454-nucleotide ribosomal RNA is filed under the name uncultured bacterium. Its description in RNAcentral is "partial 16S ribosomal RNA". It matches the Rfam family "Bacterial small subunit ribosomal RNA", at positions 28 to 507 of the family's 1533-position model. The record is from RNAcentral.